AGAGUUUGAUCCUGGCUCAGAUUGAACGCUGAGGCUUAACACAUGCAAGUCGAACGGCAGCGGACCUUCGGGUGCCGGCGAGUGGCGAACGGGUGAGUAAAGUAUCGGAACGUACCUUUCAGUGGGGGAUAACGUAGCGAAAGUUACGCUAAUACCGCAUAUUCUGUGAGCAGGAAAGCAGGGGAUCGCAAGACCUUGCGCUGAUUGAGCGGCCGAUAUCAGAUUAGCUAGUUGGUGAGGUAAAGGCUCACCAAGGCGACGAUCUGUAGCGGGUCUGAGAGGAUGAUCCGCCACACUGGAACUGAGACACGGUCCAGACUCCUACGGGAGGCAGCAGUGGGGAAUUUUGGACAAUGGGGGCAACCCUGAUCCAGCCAUGCCGCGUGAGUGAAGAAGGCCUUCGGGUUGUAAAGCUCUUUCGGCCGGGAAGAAAUCGCGCCAGUUAACACCUGGUGUGGAUGACGGUACCGGAAUAAGAAGCACCGGCUAACUACGUGCCAGCAGCCGCGGUAAUACGUAGGGUGCGAGCGUUAAUCGGAAUUACUGGGCGUAAAGCGUGCGCAGGCGGUUUUGUAAGACAGGCGUGAAAUCCCCGGGCUCAACCUGGGAACUGCGCUUGCGACUGCAUCACUCGAGUACGGCAGAGGGGGGUGGAAUUCCACGUGUAGCAGUGAAAUGCGUAGAGAUGUGGAGGAACACCGAUGGCGAAGGCAGCCCCCUGGGCCGAUACUGACGCUCAUGCACGAAAGCGUGGGUAGCAAACAGGAUUAGAUACCCUGUAGUCCACGCCCUAACGAUGUCAACUAGGUGUUGGGUGGGUAAAACCAUUUAGUACCGUAGCUAACGCGUGAAGUUGACCGCCUGGGGAGUACGGGCCGCAAGGUUAAAACUCAAAGGAAUUGACGGGGACCCGCACAAGCGGUGGAUGAUGUGGAUUAAUUCGAUGCAACGCGAAAA
Molecule: ribosomal RNA, 957 nt
Filed under: uncultured beta proteobacterium
Lineage: Bacteria; Pseudomonadati; Pseudomonadota; Betaproteobacteria
Description: bacterial SSU rRNA
Rfam family: Bacterial small subunit ribosomal RNA
Source: RNAcentral